RNAcentral lists this ribosomal RNA (253 nucleotides) under uncultured bacterium. RNAcentral describes it as "partial 16S ribosomal RNA". It matches the Rfam family "Bacterial small subunit ribosomal RNA", at positions 524 to 776 of the family's 1533-position model. The record is from RNAcentral.
UACGUAGGGUGCAAGCGUUGUCCGGAAUUAUUGGGCGUAAAGAGCUCGUAGGCGGCCUGUCGCGUCUGCUGUGAAAUCCCGGGGCUCAACCCCGGGCCUGCAGUGGAUACGGGCUGGCUGGAGGCAGGCAGGGGAGAUCGGAAUUCCUGGUGUAGCGGUGAAAUGCGCAGAUAUCAGGAGGAACACCGGUGGCGAAGGCGGGUCUCUGGGCCGAUACUGACGCUGAGGAGCGAAAGCGUGGGGAGCGAACAGG